AUCUCCCAGACAAUCAAUGCGGACUUUCUUCUGAACCUUAAGCUCGUCGAUAUUCCGCAGCUUUUUGGUAUCCCUUUAGACAUGGAUGUAGAGA
Molecule: non-coding RNA, 94 nt
Filed under: Bigelowiella natans
Lineage: Eukaryota; Cercozoa; Chlorarachniophyceae
Source: RNAcentral